AGUGAACGCUGGCGGUAGGCCUAACACAUGCAAGUCGAACGGCAGCACAGUAAGAGCUUGCUCUUACGGGUGGCGAGUGGCGGACGGGUGAGGAAUACAUCGGAAUCUACUUUUUCGUGGGGGAUAACGUAGGGAAACUUACGCUAAUACCGCAUACGACCUACGGGUGAAAGCAGGGGAUCUUCGGACCUUGCGCGAUUGAAUGAGCCGAUGUCGGAUUAGCUAGUUGGCGGGGUAAAGGCCCACCAAGGCGACGAUCCGUAGCUGGUCUGAGAGGAUGACAGGCCACAUUGAACUGAGACACGGUCCAGACUCCUACGGGAGGCAGCAGUGGGGAAUAUUGGACAAUGGGCGCAAGCCUGAUCCAGCCAUACCGCGUGGGUGAAGAAGGCCUUCGGGUUGUAAAGCCCUUUUGUUGGGAAAGAAAAGCAGCAGGUUAAUACCCCGCUGUUCUGACGGUACCCAAAGAAUAAGCACCGGCUAACUUCG
RNAcentral lists this ribosomal RNA (489 nucleotides) under uncultured bacterium. RNAcentral describes it as "partial 16S ribosomal RNA". It matches the Rfam family "Bacterial small subunit ribosomal RNA", at positions 29 to 505 of the family's 1533-position model. The record is from RNAcentral.